GUACAUUGUUUAUGUUUCUGAUGAUAUCAAACCAGAAGGUAAGAAAAGCAAACAUUGAUGGCUUAAGAAGUAUCAUUUGGUAGAGUCAGAUGAUGAUGGUGAUGGCGAUAGUAUUAUUUAAACAGCUUUGGAAACUAACAAUGUCCUUCAAGAUAGCCAAACACAUAGGGUAGUAGCUCUGUCGGACAAAAAGAAAGAGGUUGGGGAUGUUAAAAUUUUGAAAAAGAAAAAGAAGGAAAAAGAAAUCAAGAGUUCUCUAAUUGGCGUUCUAUAAAACUAGAUCAAACCGUUAGUUCGGUACUAGUUACCUGUGGUAGUGAUUGUUUCCAACAAUGGAGGUGUAUAUGGUGGUGACUGGAU
Molecule: long non-coding RNA, 360 nt
Organism: Arachis duranensis
Lineage: Eukaryota; Viridiplantae; Streptophyta; Magnoliopsida; Fabales; Fabaceae
Exons: 3
Source: RefSeq, a predicted model, not a curated record